CUGGAGGUAUCAGAAGUGCGAAUGCUGACAUAAGUAACGAUAAAGCGGGUGAAAAGCCCGCUCGCCGGAAGACCAAGGGUUCCUGUCCAACGUUAAUCGGGGCAGGGUGAGUCGACCCCUAAGGCGAGGCCGAAAGGCGUAGUCGAUGGGAAACGGGUUAAUAUUCCCGUACUUGGUGUUACUGCGAAGGGGGGACGGAGAAGGCUAUGUUGGCCGGGCGACGGUUGUCCCGGUUUAAGCGUGUAGGUGUGUGUUCCAGGUAAAUCCGGUUCACUUUAACACUGAGGCGUGACGACGAGGCACUACGGUGCUGAAGCAACAAAUGCCCUGCUUCCAGGAAAAGCCUCUAAGCAUCAGGUAACAUCAAAUCGUACCCCAAACCGACACAGGUGGUCAGGUAGAGAAUACCAAGGCGCUUGAGAGAACUCGGGUGAAGGAACUAGGCAAAAUGGUGCCGUAACUUCGGGAGAAGGCACGCUGACACGUAGGUGAAGUGAUUUACUCACGGAGCUGAAGUCAGUCGAA
This 525-nucleotide ribosomal RNA is filed under the name Salmonella enterica. RNAcentral describes it as "partial 23S ribosomal RNA". It matches the Rfam family "Bacterial large subunit ribosomal RNA", at positions 1273 to 1791 of the family's 2925-position model. The record is from RNAcentral. Lineage: Bacteria; Pseudomonadati; Pseudomonadota; Gammaproteobacteria; Enterobacterales; Enterobacteriaceae. RNAcentral also lists the same sequence under 1 other name.